This 484-nucleotide ribosomal RNA is filed under the name uncultured bacterium. Its description in RNAcentral is "partial 16S ribosomal RNA". It matches the Rfam family "Bacterial small subunit ribosomal RNA", at positions 29 to 507 of the family's 1533-position model. The record is from RNAcentral.
AUUGAACGCUGGCGGCAUGCUUUACACAUGCAAGUCGAACGGCAGCGCGGGCUUCGGCCUGGCGGCGAGUGGCGAACGGGUGAGUAAUACAUCGGAACGUGCCCAGUAGUGGGGGAUAGCUCGGCGAAAGCCGGAUUAAUACCGCAUACGACCUGAGGGUGAAAGCGGGGGAUCUUCGGACCUCGCGCUAUUGGAGCGGCCGAUGGCAGAUUAGCUAGUUGGUGGGGUAAAGGCCUACCAAGGCGACGAUCUGUAGCUGGUCCGAGAGGACGACCAGCCACACUGGGACUGAGACACGGCCCAGACUCCUACGGGAGGCAGCAGUGGGGAAUUUUGGACAAUGGGCGAAAGCCUGAUCCAGCAAUGCCGCGUGUGUGAUGAAGGCCUUCGGGUUGUAAAGCACUUUUGGCGGGAACGAAAAGGACUGUGCCAAUACCACGGUUCGAUGACGGUACCCGCAGAAUAAGCACCGGCUAACUACGUG